AGAAUUUAAAUGGUGGACAGACCAACCAUCGAAGACUUCUGCAUCUUCAGGAUAUUCUGAUUCAACAUCGAGGUCACAAACCUUUUUUUCAAUAAGAACUCUCAAAAAAGAUAAUGCUGUUAUCCCUACGGUAACUAUUUCCUUUAAUCAAUAAAACUGGAUCAAUACCCGUAAGCCUUUAAAUUUAAAGGAAGCUUUUUUUGUUCCUUAGUCGCCCCAACCAAAAAUUCUUUAUGGAAAUUUAUUUAUAAAUAUAAACUUUAACCCACAAAAAUUUUUAUAAGCUCGAUAGGGUCUUCUUGUCUAAUAAUAAAAAUUAGGCCUUUUCACCUAAAAGUAAAAUUCUACUAAAUUAAAAAGAGACAGUAUUACUUUCGUCAAACCAUUCAUUCCAGUCCCCAAUUAUAGGACAAAUUAUUAUGCUACCUUCGCACGGUCAGAGUACCGCGGCCGUUAAAUUUAUAUAUCACUGGGCAGGUAAGACUCCUUAUAUUAUUUUAUCAAAGAGCC
Molecule: ribosomal RNA, 510 nt
Filed under: Ergaea walshi
Lineage: Eukaryota; Metazoa; Mollusca; Gastropoda; Littorinimorpha; Calyptraeidae
Description: partial 16S ribosomal RNA
Source: RNAcentral